AGAGUUUGAUCCUGGCUCAGGAUGAACGCUGGCGGCGUGGAUAAGGCAUGCAAGUCGAAAGGGUUUAGGCCCUUGGCAAACGGGUUAGUAAUGCAUAGGAAUCUUCCCCAAAGUCGUGAAUAAUCCGGAGAAAUCCGGAAUAAUACACGAUAUGCUCUACGGAGUAAAGAUUUAUCGCUUUGGGAGGAGCCUGUGUCCUAUCAGCUUGUUGGUGGUGUAAAGGACUACCAAGGCUAUGACGGGUAGGGGGUGUGAGAGCACGGCCCCCAACAUUGGGACUGAGACACUGCCCAAACUCCUACGGGAGGCUGCAGUCGAGAAUAUUCCACAAUGGACGAAAGUCUGAUGGAGCGACGCCGCGUGCAGGAUGAAGGUAUUCGUAUUGUAAACUGCUUUUGUAAGGGAUGAACUUCGGUGACAGACCUACGA
RNAcentral lists this ribosomal RNA (429 nucleotides) under uncultured bacterium. RNAcentral's name for it is "bacterial SSU rRNA". It matches the Rfam family "Bacterial small subunit ribosomal RNA", at positions 8 to 468 of the family's 1533-position model. The record is from RNAcentral.